GACGAACGCUGGCGGCGUGCUUAACACAUGCAAGUCGAACGGAAAGGCCGUGCUUUUGUUGGGUGCUCGAGUGGCGAACGGGUGAGUAACACGUGAGUAACCUGCCCUUGACUUUGGGAUAACUUCAGGAAACUGGGGCUACUACCGGAUAGGAGCUCCUGCUGCAUGGUGGGGGUUGGAACGUUUCGGCGGGUGGGGAUGGACUCGCGGCUUAUGAGCUUGUUGGUGGGGGAGUGGCUUACCAAGGGUUUGACGGAUAGGCGGCCUGAGAGGGUGGACGGGGACAUGGGGACUGCGAUACGGACCAGACUCCUAUGGGAGGCAGCAGGGGGGAAUAUGGCACAAUGGGCGGAAGCCUGAUGCAGCAACGCCGCGUGCGGGAUGACGGCCUUCGGGGUGUAAACCGCUUUCGCCUGUGACGAAGCGUGAGUGACGGUAAUGGGUAAAGAAGCACCGGCUAACUACGUG
This 468-nucleotide ribosomal RNA is filed under the name uncultured bacterium. RNAcentral describes it as "partial 16S ribosomal RNA". It matches the Rfam family "Bacterial small subunit ribosomal RNA", at positions 28 to 507 of the family's 1533-position model. The record is from RNAcentral.